This is a non-coding RNA of Myotis davidii, 76 nucleotides long. NCBI's taxonomy places the organism in Eukaryota, Metazoa, Chordata, Mammalia, Chiroptera, Vespertilionidae. The record is from Rfam.
GAGACACCCUUAUGGGGCAGCACUUGCUUCAGUGGGGCUUUUGCACUCACUGAGUCUGCCCCCUGAGUGUGUCUCU